This 2262-nucleotide ribosomal RNA is filed under the name Triticum aestivum (bread wheat). RNAcentral's name for it is "partial small subunit ribosomal RNA". The record is from RNAcentral. Lineage: Eukaryota; Viridiplantae; Streptophyta; Magnoliopsida; Poales; Poaceae.
AUGAAGCUGGGGUAUUCUCGGUUUCUUCUUUCUGGCUAUAUUUUCCUCAGCCUUUUAGGGAUUUGGGUGGUGGCCACGGCCGUUGUACCGGCAGGCCAUCGUCCCGGCUGCCCGGCGAAGUGCGGCGACGUCGACAUCCCGUUCCCGUUCGGCAUCGGCGAGCAGUGCGCGUUGCACAACGGCUUUAAGCUGAACUGCACGACCGUGGAAGGUGUCAAGAAGCCUCUCUGGUCCCCGCAGAAAAAAAAAAGAAGCCUCUCUGGUGGGAUGUUCGAGGUGGCUAAGAUCUCCUUGGCUAACGGCAAGGCAACGAUGAACUCCAAGGGGAUCUCGUGGCAGUGCUAUUUCCCAGCAAAUCGCACUAUGAUGUACAGAAAUGCGCGGUUGAACCUCACCGAGACACCUUUCUGGAUAUCGGAGGUGGAUAAUACGGUUGUCGUCAUCGGGUGCAAUACUCUGGCUUAUAUGAUCAGCUCUUCUUAUGUAAUAGGUUGCGUCUCCACCUGCGAGGGCGCACCCCUGGAGGAUGGUACAUGUUCUGGCGCCGGUUGCUGCCAAGCCGAUGUCCCGAAAGGCAUACAAUAUUAUAAUGGUUAUUUCAACGAAAACUAAAACACCACAAAGACUUCACAAGACAUCACCUGCAGCUACAUAACGGUGAUGGAAAAAGCAGCUUUCAACUUCAAAACUAGCUAUGUCAAAUCCACAGUGUUUUAUGAUACAUACAAGGGCAAAGUUCCUAUUGUCCUGAACUGGCAAAUAGCAGAAUCGGCUUGUGUGGACGCUAAGAAGAACACAAGUUCCUACGCAUGUGUCAGCAACCACAGUGCGUGUGUUGAUUCCACCACCCACAAGCCAGGUUAUCGCUGCAAGUGCUCUGAUGGGUAUGAAGGCAACCCUUACCUCGCCGGUGGAUGCCAAGAUAUCGAUGAGUGCGGGCGCCCUACCAAUCCUUGUGGCGAUGGUAUAUGCAAGAACACGCCGGGAAACUACAGCUGCUCAUGCUACCCAGGGAAUUAUAUGACGAAUGGCGUUUGUGUGCCAAUUCAAAAAAAGCCUUCCCGUUUUCAGGCAAUGCCAGUUGUAGGUGCAAGUGUGGGACUUGUGGUCCUUGUGAUUGCUGUAGCAUGUGCAUGCUUGAUCCAAGAGAGAAGAAAGCUACAGAAUAUGAAACUGGCCUACUUUCGGCAGCACGGUGGUACGGUAUUAUUUGAAGAGAUGAAGUCACAGCAAUGCAAUGCAUUCAGAAUCUUCUCAGAAGAAGAAUUGCAGCAAGCCACGAACAGGUUUAGUGAAAAACAAGUCAUUGGUCGGGGAGGCCAUGGAACUGUCUACAAGGGGCUUCUCAAGAGUAAUGUUGAAGUAGCAGUCAAGAGAUGCAUGACAAUCGACGAGCAACAUAAGAAAGAAUUCAGCAAAGAAAUGCUGAUACUAGCCCAGAUCAACCACAGAAAUGUCGUGAAGCUCCUCGGGUGUUGCCUGGAGGUGGAAGUCCCCAUGCUGGUGUACGAGUUCAUCCCAAAUGGCACGCUCUUUGACCUCAUCCACGGCAACCAUGGCUGGCGCAUCUCAUUGGCCACUCGCUUGGACAUCGCCCACGACUCUGCCGAGGCACUCUCCUACCUUCAUUCGGGGGCUUCGACUCCGAUUCUCCAUGGUGAUGUUAAAUCAUCCAACAUUCUUCUCGACGAUAACCACAAAGCUAAAGUCUCCGACUUUGGCGCCUCCAUCCUUGCACCAACUGACGAGUCCCAGUUUGUCACACUUGUGCAAGGAACUUGUGGGUACCUCGACCCAGAAUACAUGCAAACAUGUCAGUUGACAGACAAGAGUGACGUGUACAGCUUUGGUGUUGUUCUUCUGGAGCUGCUCACAUGCAAGAAGCCAUUUAAUCUCGAUGCCCUUGGGCAGGAGAAGAGCCUAUCAAUGAUGUUUAUGUCUGUGAUGAAGGAGAAUAGGCUUGAGGUUAUCUUGGAUGAUGGGAUCAAGGACGAGGACGACAUGGAGAUUCUUGAGGAGAUUGCGGAGCUGGCAAAGCAUUGUUUGGAGAUGUCCGGUGAGAACAGGCCAUCAAUGAAGGAAGUCGCAGAGAAGCUCGACAGGCUGAGGAAGGUGAUGCAUCAUCCAUGGGUGCAACAGAACCCUGAAGAGAUGGAAAGCUUACUUGGGGAACCCUCGGCAAUGGUCCACUCGACGAUUGUCAGUGAUCAAUAUUUCAGCAUCGAGAAGAAAGUUGUGACUAAUCUGCAAUUAGAGCAUUGA